This 317-nucleotide long non-coding RNA is filed under the name Hordeum vulgare. Its description in RNAcentral is "long non-coding RNA (HVUL_LNC018004)". Lineage: Eukaryota; Viridiplantae; Streptophyta; Magnoliopsida; Poales; Poaceae. The record is from RNAcentral.
UCGUCGUCUUCUCCUCCACCGGCAAGCUCUCCCAGUUCGCCAGCUCCAGGCACGUACCCUCGCCCCUCUUUCUUCCCCGCCCUCACCCCCCCAUCUCCCACUCCCAUCUCACAUACGCACAUAUACAUGCGUUCUUCUAUCUUCUUCUCCAUUCUCGCUUCAUAUUUUCAUUAGAUCUGCCUCCUCUUCUCGAGUUCCCGGCUCGAUGCGGGCUCUGGAUCCUUUCCUUGCACUAGCGCUAGGGUUUCCCGCAUCAACAGCUACACAUCCGGCCAUCCAAACGCGCGCCAUGGUUUCCUCCUCCACCGCUAGCCAGG